ACGGCUCAGUAACACGUGGAUAACCUGCCCAAGGGUUCGGGAUAACCCCGGGAAACUGGGGAUAAUACCGGAUGGAUCACUAGUGCUGGAAUGCUUGGUGGUUUAAAGGUAACGCCUUUGGAUGGGUCUGCGGCGGAUUAGGUUGACGCCGGUGUAACGUACCGGCGUGCCUGUAAUCCGUACGGGUUGUGGGAGCAAGAGCCCGGAGAUGGAUUCUGAGACACGAAUCCAGGCCCUACGGGGCGCAGCAGGCGCGAAAACUCUACAAUGCAGGCAACUGCGAUAGGGGGACAUCGAGUGGCAUCCACCUUGGGUGCCUGUCCAACCGUCUAAAAAACGGUUGUUAGCAAGGGCCGGGUAAGACCGGUGCCAGCCGCCGCGGUAAUACCGGCGGCUCGAGUGGUGGCCGAUAUUAUUGAGUCUAAAGGGUCCGUAGCCGGCUUUGCAAGUCCCCUGGGAAAUCCAGCGGCUUAACCGUUGGGCUUUCAUGGGAUACUACAUUGCUUGGGACUGGGAGAGGUAGGAGGUACUCGGGGGGUA
Molecule: ribosomal RNA, 540 nt
Filed under: uncultured archaeon
Lineage: Archaea
Description: bacterial SSU rRNA
Rfam family: Archaeal small subunit ribosomal RNA
Source: RNAcentral